This 433-nucleotide ribosomal RNA is filed under the name uncultured bacterium. RNAcentral describes it as "partial 16S ribosomal RNA". It matches the Rfam family "Bacterial small subunit ribosomal RNA", at positions 29 to 507 of the family's 1533-position model. The record is from RNAcentral.
AACGAACGCUGGCGGCAUGCCUAACACAUGCAAGUCGAACGAGACCUUCGGGUCUAGUGGCGCACGGGUGCGUAACGCGUGGGAACCUGCCCUUAGGUUCGGAAUAACUCCCCGAAAGGGGUGCUAAUACCGGAUAAUGUCUUCGGACCAAAGAUUUAUCGCCUUUGGAUGGGCCCGCGUUGGAUUAGCUAGUUGGUAGGGUAAAAGCCUACCAAGGCGACGAUCCAUAGCUGGUCUGAGAGGAUGAUCAGCCACACUGGGACUGAGACACGGACCAGACUCCUACGGGAGGCAGCAGUGGGGAAUAUUGGACAAUGGGCGAAAGCCUGAUCCAGCAAUGCCGCGUGAGUGAUGAAGGCCUUAGGGUUGUAAAGCUCUUUUACCCGGGAUGAUAAUGACAGUACCGGGAGAAUAAGCUCCGGCUAACUCCGUG